CAGCGGGCUGCUUGUGUUUCUGUUCCUCACAGGACAUCAUAUGACCCGCAGAUCCCGUGUGAACGCUCUACGUUAGUCAGUGGACGUCCGACAAGAAGCCCAAUCAUUUAUAAUACAUACAGCUAGAGGCUAUACUUUGGUUUAAAUUGCGUGAAUAAAAUAGCUAGAGAGCUAAAGUACAUUUCGUUCAUCCAAAGGCACACUGAUGACCUUGUGCUUUUAAGGCUUAUGUAACAAACUGUAUAUAAAGGAUUUUGUAGUAUCAAUCGGCGAGAUGAGACUAGCAGCGCGUGCAGAAGCUCUUCAUGCCGAGCACAUGGCAACUGUAAUGGCGGGAGACCUGCAGCCAUGAGCACAUGGUUUCUCAAGAUGUUGGAGACUCUCUCUUAGCUCGUCCACACACUGAUGGAAGGAGUUGCUGGGACAUAUCCACAUCUCAACCACAAACCUGGAUGCUGACUCCAAGGCUGGAGUUAUAAUGAGGAUCUACAAUGAGUCCCAGCGUGUAGUUCACUACGCAGAACACCAAGUGCCCAAGGAACUCGAGGAGAACCAAGUUAAAAGAUGGUUGAACAAAGCAUACUCAGGACACCAAAGGCACGAGGGUGCUGUGGAGGACCAGGACCCGCCUAUAUAAACUACGGCCGGACAUUUUUCAGUCUCUCUGGCUGCUCUCUGUUGGAUGUGAACGUCCAGCUAACCGGAUUUUUGCUCAGAACUGAGGAAACAAGGAUCUACAAUGAGUCCCAGCGCGGAGUUCACUACGCAGAACACCAAGUGCCCAAGGAACUCGAGGAGAUCCACGUUAAAAGAUGGUUGAAUAAAGAUCACACUGCCUAAAGGUGGAUGCUCUGAAAGAUCAUUUGACCCCCUACCUGAGUCCUACCUGAGGGGGGGGGGAGUCUGCAGCCAGGAGCACAUGGUUUCUCAAGAUGUUGGAGACUCUCUCUUAGCUCGUCCACACACUGAUGGAAGGAGUUGCUGGGACAUAUCCACAUCUCAACCACAAACCUGGAUGCUGACUCCAAGGCUGGAGUUGUAAUGAGGGUGUGACUGAAGGACCUGGAUCUGGAGGACGUGCAGACUCAUGAAAAGCCGGGUGGAACAGUUCUACUGGGCUCUGCAGGGGCAUGGAGUCACUUGGGAGUGAAACUCGGACUCUCCUGUCCUCCGUCUUGUUGUACAAGGGUGAGGGCCACUUUAAAAAAAUAAAACAAGUCGGGGGCUACUUUUACCCCUUUUUUUUGUUUUUGUUUUUUGCAGUGUAUAUAUUUAGCACAUUUU
This is a long non-coding RNA of Trematomus bernacchii (emerald rockcod), 1284 nucleotides long. RefSeq lists it as uncharacterized. The record is from RefSeq and is a predicted model, not a curated record. The transcript has 10 exons. NCBI's taxonomy places the organism in Eukaryota, Metazoa, Chordata, Actinopteri, Perciformes, Nototheniidae.